UGGGGAGAAUCCGGGGGAAAAAACAUCGGGAAUGGGGAGAGUGUGGGGAAAAUGGGCAGAAAAGGGGGGAAAAAGUCGAUGGGAGGUGGGGAAAAAUGGGAGAAAUCUGUGGGAAGUGAAGGGAAAAACCCCGGGAAUGGGGAGAAUCCGUGGGAAAUCCAUGGGAGAUUCGUGGGAAAUGGGGAAAAAUCCAUGGGGAAAAAUCCAUGGGAAAUGGGGAAAAGUGGGAGAAAAAUCCAUGGGAAAUGGGGAAUUGGUGGGAAAUCCAUGGGAGAUUCAUGGGAAAUAGGGAAAAAUCCACGGGAAAUGGGGAAAAAUCCAUGGGAAAUGGGGAAUUGGUGGGAAAUCCAUGGGAGAUUCAUGGGAAAUAGGGAAAAAUCCACGGGAAAUGGGGAAAAAUCCAUGGGAAAUGGGGAAAAAUCCACGGGAAAUGGGGAAAAAUCCAUGGGAAAUGGGGAAAAAUCCAUGGGAAAUGGUGAAAAAUCCAUGGGAAAUAGGGAAAAAUCCAUGGGAAAUGGGGAAAAAUCCACGGGAAAUGGGGAAAAAUCCAUGGGAAAUGGGGAAAAGUGGGAGAAAAAUCCACGGGAAAUAGGAAAAAAUCCAUGGGAAAUGGGGAAAAAUCCACAGGAAAUGGGGAAAAACGGGAAAAAUCCACGGGAAAUGGUGAAAAGUGGGAGAACGGGAGAAAAAUCCACAGGAAACGGGGAAAGACAGGAUGGAAAUCCACGGGAAAUGGGGAAAAAUCCAUGGGAAAUGAGGAAAAAUCCAUGGGAAACCUGCUGGAAAUGGGGAAAACGGGAGAAAAAUCCACGGGAAAUAUGAAAAAAUCCAUGGGAAAUGGGGAAAAAUCCAUGGGAAACCUGCUGGAAAUGGGGAAAACGGGAGAAAAAUCCAUGGGAAAUGGGGAAAAAUCCACGGGAAAUGGGGAAAAGUGGGAGAACGGGAGAAAAAUCCACAGGAAACGGGGAAAGACAGGAUGGAAAUCCACAGGAAAUGGGGAAAAAUCCAUGGGAAAUGAGGAAAAAUCCAUGGGAAAUGGGGAAAAAUCCAUGGGAAAUGAGGAAAAAUCCAUGGGAAACCUGCUGGAAAUGGGGAAAACGGGAGAAAAAUCCACGGGAAAUAGGGAAAAAUCCAUGGGAAAUGGGGAAAAGUGGGAGAACGGGAGAAAAAUCCACAGGAAACGGGGAAAGAUAGGAUGGAAAUCCACAGGAAAUGGGGAAAAAUCCAUGGGAAAUGAGGAAAAAUCCAUGGGAAAUGGGGAAAAGUGGGAGAAAAAUCCACGGGAAAUACGAAAAAAUCCAUGGGAAAUGAGGAAAAAUCCAUGGGAAACCUGCUGGAAAUGGGGAAAACGGGAGAAAAGUCCAAGGGAAAUGGGGAAAAAUCCACGGGAAAUGGGGAAAAGUGGGAGAAUGGGAGAAAAAUCCACAGGAAACGGGGAAAGACAGGAUGGAAAUCCACAGGAAAUGGGGAAAAAUCCACGGGAAAUGGGGAAAAAUCCAUGGGAAACCUGCUGGAAAUGGGGAAAACGGGAGAAAAAUCCACGGGAAAUGGGGAAAGACAGGAUGGAAAUCCACGGGAAAAGGGGAAAGACAGGAUGGAAAUCCACGGGAAAUGGGGAAAGACAGGAUGGAAAUCCACGGGAAAUGGGGAAAAACUGGUAAAAAACCAACGAGAAACGGUGAAAAAAUCCACAAGAAAUGGGAAUUUCUCCUGGAUUCCCGCGAGGACGAGGAGAACNNNNNNNNNNNNNNNNNNNNAUCCCAGGAUUUUUCCUCAAAAUCUCACGGUUUUUUUUCCCAAAAUUAAAGGUUUUUUUCCCUAAAAUCCCAGUGUUUUUCCUCAAAAUCCCAGGGAUUUCUUUCCCUAAAAUCCCAGGAAUCUCCUUCCCCAAAAUCCCAGGUUUUUCCCCAAAAUCCCAGGCUUUUUCCCCAG
This is a long non-coding RNA of Cyanistes caeruleus (blue tit), 1932 nucleotides long. The record is from Ensembl. NCBI's taxonomy places the organism in Eukaryota, Metazoa, Chordata, Aves, Passeriformes, Paridae.